This 467-nucleotide ribosomal RNA is filed under the name uncultured bacterium. Its description in RNAcentral is "partial 16S ribosomal RNA". It matches the Rfam family "Bacterial small subunit ribosomal RNA", at positions 28 to 507 of the family's 1533-position model. The record is from RNAcentral.
GACGAACGCUGGCGGCGUGCUUAACACAUGCAAGUCGAACGGAAAGGCCCUGCUUUUGUGGGGUGCUCGAGUGGCGAACGGUGAGUAACACGUGAGUUACCUGCCCUUGACUUUGGGAUAACUUCAGGAAACUGGGGCUAAUACCGGAUAGGAGCUCCUGCUGCCUGGUGGGGGUUGGAAAGUUUCGGCGGUUGGGGAUGGACUCGCGGCUUAUCAGCUUGUUGGUGGGGUAGUGGCUUACCAAGGCUUUGACGGGUAGCCGGCCUGAGAGGGUGACCGGCCACAUUGGGACUGAGAUACGGCCCAGACUCCUACGGGAGGCAGCAGUGGGGAAUAUUGCACAAUGGGCGGAAGCCUGAUGCAGCAACGCCGCGUGCGGGAUGACGGCCUUCGGGUUGUAAACCGCUUUCGCCUGUGACGAAGCGUGAGUGACGGUAAUGGGUAAAGAAGCACCGGCUAACUACGUG